RNAcentral lists this ribosomal RNA (266 nucleotides) under uncultured bacterium. Its description in RNAcentral is "partial 16S ribosomal RNA". It matches the Rfam family "Bacterial small subunit ribosomal RNA", at positions 88 to 354 of the family's 1533-position model. The record is from RNAcentral.
UGACUGAGUGGCGGACGGGUGAGUAACGCGUGGGUAACCUGCCUCACACAGGGGGAUAACAGUUGGAAACGACCGCUAAUACCGCAUAACCCGCUGGUACCGCAUGGUACCGACGGAAAAGAUUUAUCGGUGUGAGAUGGACCCGCGUCUGAUUAGCCAGUUGGCAGGGUAACGGCCUACCAAAGCGACGAUCAGUAGCCGGCCUGAGAGGGUGAACGGCCACAUUGGGACUGAGACACGGCCCAAACUCCUACGGAAGGCAGCAG